This 784-nucleotide ribosomal RNA is filed under the name uncultured bacterium. RNAcentral describes it as "bacterial SSU rRNA". It matches the Rfam family "Bacterial small subunit ribosomal RNA", at positions 574 to 1356 of the family's 1533-position model. The record is from RNAcentral.
GGUGGCUUGUCGCGUCUGCCGUGAAAACCCGAGGCUCAACCUCGGGCGUGCGGUGGGUACGGGCAGGCUAGAGUGUGGUAGGGGAGACUGGAACUCCUGGUGUAGCGGUGAAAUGCGCAGAUAUCAGGAAGAACACCGAUGGCGAAGGCAGGUCUCUGGGCCAUUACUGACACUGAGAAGCGAAAGCAUGGGUAGCGAACAGGAUUAGAUACCCUGGUAGUCCAUGCCGUAAACGUUGGGCACUACGUGUGGGGGACAUUCCACGUUUUCCGCGCCGUAGCUAACGCAUUAAGUGCCCCGCCUGGGGAGUACGGCCGCAAGGCUAAAACUCAAAGGAAUUGACGGGGGCCCGCACAAGCGGCGGAGCAUGCUGAUUAAUUCGAUGCAACGCGAAGAACCUUACCAAGGCUUGACAUGCACUGGACGGCUGCAGAGAUGUGGCUUUCUUUGGACUGGGUGCACAGGUGUUGCAUGGUUGUCGUCAGCUCGUGUCGUGAGAUGCUGGGUUAAGUCCCGCAACGAGCGCAACCCUCGUUCUAUGUUGCCAGCACGUGAUGGUGGGGACUCAUAGGAGACUGCCGGGGUCAACUCGGGGGAAGGUGGGGACGACGUCAAAUCAUCAUGCCCCUUAUGUCUUGGGCUUCAAGCAUGCUACAAUGGUCGGUACAAUGGGUUGCGAAACUGUGAGGUGGAGCGAAUCCCAAAAAGCCGGCCUCAGUUCGGAUUGGGGUCUGCAACUCGACCCCAUGAAGUCGGAGUCGCUAGUAAUCGCAGAUCAGCAACG